GCUGGGUGCGGUGGCGUGUGCCUGUAAUCCAAGCUACCGGGAGGCUGAGGUUGGAGGAUCAUUUGAGCUCAGGAGCUCUGAGCUGCAGCAGGCUAUGUCGAUCGGGUGUCUGCACUAAGUUUGGCAUCGAUAUGGUGAUCCCGGGGGAGCCCGGGACCACCAGGUCACCUAAGGAGGGGUGCCCAGGUCGGAGACGGAGCAGGUCAAAGCCCCUGUGUCGCUCAGUAGUGGGAUCGCACCUGUGAAUAGAUGCUGUAGCACAGCCUGAGCAAUACAGCGAGACCCAAUCUUUA
This is an unclassified non-coding RNA of Astatotilapia calliptera (eastern happy), 293 nucleotides long. It matches the Rfam family "Metazoan signal recognition particle RNA". Rfam says of the family: The signal recognition particle (SRP) is a universally conserved ribonucleoprotein. Lineage: Eukaryota; Metazoa; Chordata; Actinopteri; Cichliformes; Cichlidae. The record is from Ensembl.